Molecule: small RNA, 125 nt
Filed under: Marinobacterium alkalitolerans
Lineage: Bacteria; Pseudomonadati; Pseudomonadota; Gammaproteobacteria; Oceanospirillales; Oceanospirillaceae
Description: RtT sRNA
Rfam family: RtT RNA
About the family: This family represents a bacterial cis-regulatory element known as RtT RNA.
Source: RNAcentral
UGUCUGUGGAGUCUGACGUGGAUGAGAACCGCCGAAGGUGGUUCGAGCCGAGGCACGCAGUGCCGAGACGACGUUGCGGCGCAGACGCAACGGCCCGAAGGGGAACAAUCCACCUCCCACCACCA